CGAGUUUGAUCCUGGCUCAGAACGAACGCUGGCGGCAGGCUUAACACAUGCAAGUCGAACGCCCCGCAAGGGGGAGUGGCAGACGGGUGAGUAACGCGUGGGAAUCUACCCAUCUCUACGGAAUAACUCAGGGAAACUUGUGCUAAUACCGUAUACGCCCUUUGGGGGAAAGGAUUUAUCGGAGAUGGAUGAGCCCGCGUUGGAUUAGCUAGUUGGUGGGGUAAAGGCCUACCAAGGCGACGAUCCAUAGCUGGUCUGAGAGGAUGAUCAGCCACACUGGGACUGAGACACGGCCCAGACUCCUACGGGAGGCAGCAGUGGGGAAUAUUGGACAAUGGGCGCAAGCCUGAUCCAGCCAUGCCGCGUGAGUGAUGAAGGCCCUAGGGUUGUAAAGCUCUUUCACCGGUGAAGAUAAUGACGGUAACCGGAGAAGAAGCCCGGCUAACUUCGUG
This 452-nucleotide ribosomal RNA is filed under the name uncultured bacterium. Its description in RNAcentral is "bacterial SSU rRNA". It matches the Rfam family "Bacterial small subunit ribosomal RNA", at positions 9 to 507 of the family's 1533-position model. The record is from RNAcentral.